This 315-nucleotide ribosomal RNA is filed under the name Triticum aestivum (bread wheat). Its description in RNAcentral is "partial small subunit ribosomal RNA". Lineage: Eukaryota; Viridiplantae; Streptophyta; Magnoliopsida; Poales; Poaceae. The record is from RNAcentral.
AUGAGAGGGGGGAAAGAGAUGCUUUUGAGGCGCAUUUCGGCCGAGCUUUUACAUCUCUACUCGUGGUGGUGUGAUGAUGGUGUGGGGUUAGGGACGGUAGGGAGAGUCGAGGAGAGGCUUUUGCCGUGCGGUGGCUGGUGGUGGUGCGGCAGGAACUGCUUGCUCUCCUUGGUUGGUGCGUCUCUAGCUGAAACGCAAAAGCAGGCUCCAAAUCUUUGGUGCUCCAGUGAUGAGUGCCGUCCUACUGAAUGCAGUACAGUUUCUCUACUAAACUCGCGGGGCCAUGUUUGUUUCUUUAUUUUUCUUAUAAAUUGA